UACAGAGGGUGCAAACGUUGUUCGGAAUUACUGGGCGUAAAGCGCGUGUAGGCGGCCCGGCAAGUCGGAUGUGAAAUCCCACGGCUCAACCGUGGAAGUGCAUUCGAAACUGCAGGGCUGGAGUACUGGAGAGGAAGGUGGAAUGCUCGGUGUAGAGGUGAAAUUCGUAGAUAUCGAGCGGAACACCGGUGGCGAAGGCGGCCUUCUGGACAGUUACUGACGCUGAGACGCGAAAGCGUGGGGAGCAAACAGG
RNAcentral lists this ribosomal RNA (253 nucleotides) under uncultured Byssovorax sp. Its description in RNAcentral is "partial 16S ribosomal RNA". It matches the Rfam family "Bacterial small subunit ribosomal RNA", at positions 524 to 776 of the family's 1533-position model. Lineage: Bacteria; Pseudomonadati; Myxococcota; Polyangiales; Polyangiaceae. The record is from RNAcentral.